Non-coding RNA from Meleagris gallopavo (turkey), 678 nucleotides. The record is from RefSeq and is a predicted model, not a curated record. Lineage: Eukaryota; Metazoa; Chordata; Aves; Galliformes; Phasianidae.
AACUGUCUUUUUCUUUUCCUUUAAACUAGAAUCCUGCAAUUGCUGACAUCUAUACUGAGCACGCCCAUCAGGUUGUAGUUGCCAAGUAUGCUCCCAGUGGAUUCUACAUAGCGUCUGGAGAUGUCUCUGGAAAGCUGAGAAUCUGGGAUACUACACAGAAGGAACACCUUCUGAAGUAUGAGUAUCAGCCAUUUGCAGGAAAAAUAAAGGACCUUGCCUGGACUGAAGACAGCAAAAGAAUUGCUGUGGUUGGAGAAGGAAGGGAAAAAUUUGGAGCAGUAUUCCUGUGGGAUAGUGGUUCUUCUGUUGGUGAAAUCACUGGGCACAACAAAGUGAUCAACAGCGUGGACAUAAAGCAAACAAGACCUUAUCGUCUAGCAACUGGCAGUGAUGACAACUGUGCUGCUUUCUUUGAGGGACCUCCAUUCAAGUUCAAGUUUACACUGAGUGUGAGUUUAAGCUUAGUUGUGGCUCUGUUAAACUUUCCAAGUUGACUGAAAGCUUUCCAACAAAAUUCCAGUCUGAACUGUUAAAACAGUUAAAAAAGUUCUCAGUUUCCUCUUUUGAGCCACGAUUGGCAUUAAGUCACUGUCUAGAGCCCAUGUUUAAGUUAUAACUGAAGGCUUGAUUCAGGCUGACAAAACUAAAAUAAACCAUUGCUUCAGGUUUUCUUCUUAA